CUUUCCUCUUAUACUUUCAAUAAACACUUCCCUUUUCACUAGCUCCUUUCUGUCUGUGAUUUCAUUCUUCUACUUUGUGAGAAAAUGUAUUCUGCUUGUGCAGUGAUAGCUGUUGCACUGAGCCCUGUCUUCUAGCCUUUUCCAUCAUCAUGCCCUCCUUGUAACCUUCAAACUUAAAGAAAUAAUAGCCUCAAGGACCAAUGGAACGGAACCGCAGUUCUGUCGGCUGGAUGUGUACUUAGCCAGGGAUCGAACUCAGGACCUUGUGCUUGAGAGGCAGGCGGUGGAACCACUGAGAUAAAUCCCCAGCCCUAAAUAUCAACUUCUUAAGCAAUAAAAAUUUUUUAUAUAUCUGUGAUAAUCAAAUAAGAUUAUCCCUGACAGUAAUCCCUGGCAUCCAGUAGUCAUUAAAUCUUGACUGGUCCUGUGAUGGUUUAUGUCUCUUAUUUGUGUUUACUUUCCUUCUUCUCUGCUCUGAGGAGAUUUGAAGCAACUUACUGAGUUCUAGAGAAAUGGCUCACCAGGAACCAUUCCAAUGGCUGGAGGGUAAACCUUGAGAAGACCUGUAUUGGGCAUCCUGAAAACAAAUGAAUGCUUGGGAGCAUAAAGCUUUAGAAAUUCUCCUGUGGAUUCCAGACAGCUAACAUGCCAAUAUGCACACUGACCAGAGGUGUUUGUAGCCAAAGAAAUACCAGGUCGAGCUUUCUCAGGAAACUGGGUGAGGAACCAAGAGAACACACUCGUUUUCAUAGCUUGGGGUCACCCAGAGCUGACCUGUUGCCAGGGGAGACUGAGGUUACACAUGAAGACCAUUUCAGAGAUCUAGUUCCUUGGCCACAAAGUGGCACUGGAUGAUGCAACCAUGCAUGACAAGAACAUGGACUUUGGGACCCAGCGAUCUCUUAAUUGCAUUUGUGUCACCCACAAGCUGAGUGAUCCCAGCAAAUGACUUCACCUCCUGAAGCCUCGAUUCCUUCACCUAUUUAAUGGAGGUAAUGAUCCCUCCCCAAAGGAUCUUAUAAGUCACUGGGAUCCUGUAUAUGAAGUGCCUGUCCCAGUGUCCUCAGCACUGCUAGCUGUCAUUACCUCCAGGAAAGUAAUAUCACCCCAGUAAGAAUGGCUGUUAUCCAAAAGACAAAGAUAAGUGUUGAGGAUGUGAGAAAAAGAGACCCCUUGCACACUGUUAGUGAGAAUGUAAAUUAGUAUGGCCAUUGUGGAAAACAGUAUGGAAGUUCCUAAAAAGUUAAAAAUAGAAGUACCAUAUGAUCCAGCAAUGCCGCUACUGAGUAUACACCCAAAGGAAAUGAAAUCCAUAUGUCAGAGACAACUGCACUCCCAAGUUUGUUGCAGCAGUACUCACAACAGCCAAGGAAUGGAAACAAGCAGCAAGUUCAUCAUGUGAUGCAUAAGUAAAGAAAAUGCACAUGUGCACAAUGGAAUCCUGUUCAGCCAUUAGAAAUACAGAAUCUCCUCACUUGCAACAACACAGAUGGAACAGGAGAUCCUUCUGUUGAGUGAAUA
This 1521-nucleotide long non-coding RNA is filed under the name Heterocephalus glaber (naked mole-rat). RNAcentral describes it as "lncRNA (ENSHGLG00000035656.1)". Lineage: Eukaryota; Metazoa; Chordata; Mammalia; Rodentia; Bathyergidae. The record is from RNAcentral.